Molecule: ribosomal RNA, 458 nt
Filed under: uncultured bacterium
Lineage: Bacteria
Description: bacterial SSU rRNA
Rfam family: Bacterial small subunit ribosomal RNA
Source: RNAcentral
UACGGGAGGCAGCAGUGGGGAAUAUUGCACAAUGGGCGAAAGCCUGAUGCAGCUAUGCCGCGUGUAUGAAGAAGGCCUUAGGGUUGUAAAGUACUUUCAGCGGGGAGGAAGGCGAUGUGGUUAAUAACCGCGUCGAUUGACGUUACCCGCAGAAGAAGCACCGGCUAACUCCGUGCCAGCAGCCGCGGUAAUACGGAGGGUGCAAGCGUUAAUCGGAAUUACUGGGCGUAAAGCGCACGCAGGCGGUCUGUUAAGUCAGAUGUGAAAUCCCCGGGCUUAACCUGGGAACUGCAUUUUGAAACUGGCAGGCUUGAGUCUCGUAGAGGGGGUUAGAAUUCCAGGUGUAGCGGUGAAAUGCGUAGAGAUCUGGAGGAAUACCGGUGGCGAAGGCGGCCCCUGGGACGAAGGACUGACGCUCAGGGUGCGAAAGCGUGGGGAGCAAACGAGGAUUAGAUACC